This 301-nucleotide ribosomal RNA is filed under the name uncultured bacterium. RNAcentral describes it as "partial 16S ribosomal RNA". It matches the Rfam family "Bacterial small subunit ribosomal RNA", at positions 509 to 809 of the family's 1533-position model. The record is from RNAcentral.
CAGCCGCCGCGGGAAUACGUAGGUGACAAGCGUUGUCCGGAAUUAUCGGGCGUAAAGGGCUCGCAGGCGGUUUCUUAGGUCUGAUGUGAAAGCCCCCGGCUCAACCGGGGAGGGUCAUUGGAAACUGGGAAACUUGAGUGCAGAAGAGGAGAGUGGAAUUCCACGUGUAGCGGUGAAAUGCGUAGAGAUGUGGAGGAACACCAGUGGCGAAGGCGACUCUCUGGUCUGUAACUGACGCUGAGGAGCGAAAGCGUGGGGAGCGAACAGGAUUAGAUACCCCAGUAGUCCCUGUCUCUUAUAA